RNAcentral lists this ribosomal RNA (465 nucleotides) under Vreelandella stevensii. RNAcentral describes it as "partial 16S ribosomal RNA". It matches the Rfam family "Bacterial small subunit ribosomal RNA", at positions 338 to 795 of the family's 1533-position model. Lineage: Bacteria; Pseudomonadati; Pseudomonadota; Gammaproteobacteria; Oceanospirillales; Halomonadaceae. The record is from RNAcentral.
CCUACGGGGGGCAGCAGUGGGGAAUAUUGGACAAUGGGGGGAACCCUGAUCCAGCCAUGCCGCGUGUGUGAAGAAGGCCCUCGGGUUGUAAAGCACUUUCAGUGAGGAAGAACGCCUGGUGGUUAAUACCCAUCAGGAAAGACAUCACUCACAGAAGAAGCACCGGCUAACUCCGUGCCAGCAGCCGCGGUAAUACGGAGGGUGCGAGCGUUAAUCGGAAUUACUGGGCGUAAAGCGCGCGUAGGUGGCUUGAUAAGCCGGUUGUGAAAGCCCCGGGCUCAACCUGGGAACGGCAUCCGGAACUGUCGAGCUAGAGUGCAGGAGAGGAAGGUAGAAUUCCCGGUGUAGCGGUGAAAGGCGUAGAGAUCGGGAGGAAUACCAGUGGCGAAGGCGGCCUUCUGGACUGACACUGACACUGAGGUGCGAAAGCGUGGGUAGCAAACAGGAUUAGAUACCCGAGUAGUC